This 400-nucleotide ribosomal RNA is filed under the name uncultured bacterium. Its description in RNAcentral is "bacterial SSU rRNA". It matches the Rfam family "Bacterial small subunit ribosomal RNA", at positions 29 to 416 of the family's 1533-position model. The record is from RNAcentral.
AGCGAACGUUAGCGGCGGGCCUAACACAUGCAAGUCGAACGGGCAGUAGCAAUACUGUCAGUGGCGCACGGGUGAGUAACGCGUAGGUAAUCUACCCUUUGGCGGGGGAUAACGUUCCGAAAGGGACGCUAAUACCGCAUAAGACCACGACCUCUUCGGGGGGUUGGGGGAAAACGGUGGCCUCUUCUUGAAAGCCAUCACCGAAGGAUGAGCCUGCGUCCCAUCAGCUAGUUGGUAGGGUAAUGGCCUACCAAGGCGAAGACGGGUAGCUGGUCUGAGAGGAUGAUCAGCCACACUGGCACUGGAAACACGGGCCAGACUCCUACGGGAGGCAGCAGUGGGGAAUAUUGGGCAAUGGGCGCAAGCCUGACCCAGCCACGCCGCGUGAGCGAUGAAGGCC